GACGAACGCUGGCGGUGUGCUUAACACAUGCAAGUCGAACGGUAAGGCCCUUUCGGGGGUACACGAGUGGCGAACGGGUGAGUAACACGUGAGUAACCUGCCCUCAUCUCUGGGAUAACAGUCUGAAACGGUUGCUAAUACUGGCUAUGAGCUUGCAAGGCAUCUUGUGGGUUGGAAAGAUUUUUUUUGGUUGGGGAUGGACUCGCGGCCUAUCAGCUUGUUGGUGAGGUAGUGGCUCACCAAGGCUUCGACGGGUAGCCGGCCUGAGAGGGCGACCGGCCACAUUGGGACUGAGAUACGGCCCAAACUCCUACGGGAGGCAGCAGUGGGGAAUAUUGCACAAUGGACGGAAGUCUGAUGCAGCAACGCCGCGUGCGGGAUGACGGCCUUCGGGUUGUAAACAGCUUUCAAUUGUGACGAAGCUUUUUUGUGACGGUAGCAGUAGAAGAAGCACCGGCUAACUACGUG
RNAcentral lists this ribosomal RNA (468 nucleotides) under uncultured bacterium. RNAcentral describes it as "partial 16S ribosomal RNA". It matches the Rfam family "Bacterial small subunit ribosomal RNA", at positions 28 to 507 of the family's 1533-position model. The record is from RNAcentral.